Molecule: ribosomal RNA, 498 nt
Filed under: uncultured bacterium
Lineage: Bacteria
Description: partial 16S ribosomal RNA
Rfam family: Bacterial small subunit ribosomal RNA
Source: RNAcentral
AUUGAACGCUGGCGGCAUGCCUUACACAUGCAAGUCGAACGGUAACAGGUCUUCGGAUGCUGACGAGUGGCGAACGGGUGAGUAAUACAUCGGAACGUGCCUAGUAGUGGGGGAUAACUACUCGAAAGAGUGGCUAAUACCGCAUGAGAUCUACGGAUGAAAGCAGGGGAUCGCAAGACCUUGUGCUACUAGAGCGGCCGAUGGCAGAUUAGGUAGUUGGUGGGAUAAGAGCUUACCAAGCCGACGAUCUGUAGCUGGUCUGAGAUGACGAUCAGCCACACUGGGACUGAGACACGGCCCAGACUCCUACGGGAGGCAGCAGUGGGGAAUUUUGGACAAUGGGCGAAAGCCUGAUCCAGCAAUGCCGCGUGCAGGAUGAAGGCCUUCGGGUUGUAAACUGCUUUUGUACGGAACGAAAAGCCCUGGGUUAAUACCCUGGGGUCAUGACGGUACCGUAAGAAUAAGCACCGGCUAACUACGUGCCAGCCGCCGCAGUAA